This 532-nucleotide ribosomal RNA is filed under the name uncultured Pseudomonadota bacterium. RNAcentral's name for it is "bacterial SSU rRNA". It matches the Rfam family "Bacterial small subunit ribosomal RNA", at positions 97 to 606 of the family's 1533-position model. Lineage: Bacteria; Pseudomonadati; Pseudomonadota. The record is from RNAcentral.
GGCGAACGGGUGAGUAACGCGUGGGAAACCUGCCCUUGAGACGGGGAUAACACCUCCAACGGGGUGCUAAUACCGGAUAAGACCACGGAGUCGCAUGGCUCUGAGGUCAAAGGUGGCCUCUACUUGUAAGCUACCACUUAAGGAUGGUCCCGCGUCCCAUUAGCUUGUUGGUAGGGUAAUGGCCUACCAAGGCGACGAUGGGUAGCUGGUCUGAGAGGAUGGUCAGCCACACUGGACUGAGAUACGGCCCAGACUCCUACGGGAGGCAGCAGUCGAGAGGCUUCGUCAAUGGGGGAAACCCUGAACGAGCGACGCCGCGUGGGCGAUGAAGGCCGUUAGGUUGUAAAGCCCUGUCGAGUGGGAAGAAAUGCAGGCGGGCAAACAGUCCGCUUGUUUGACGGUACCGCUAAAGGAAGCUCCGGCUAACUCCGUGCCAGCAGCCGCGGUAAUACGGGUGGAGCGAACGUUGUUCGGAAUUACUGGGCGUAAAGGGCGUGCAGGCGGCUCGGUAAGAGGGAUGUGAAAUGCCCUG